GCCAGCAGCCAUAUCAACUCACAACUGGCAACUGGCAACCUACUAAAGCUAAGCAGAUUUGAGCCUGGUCAGUACCUGGAUGUGAGACCUCCUGGGAAAAACUAAGGUUGCUGCUAGAA
RNAcentral lists this ribosomal RNA (119 nucleotides) under Lepisosteus oculatus (spotted gar). The record is from RNAcentral. Lineage: Eukaryota; Metazoa; Chordata; Actinopteri; Semionotiformes; Lepisosteidae.